GGAGAAGUGUUAAGUCUUUAUUUUUGUAUUGUAAUAGGCUACGUUUUAAUAAGCUAUAUGUAAAUAUAGUGCUUAGGCGGAGCUUACUAACACACAAAUUAAAGAUUAAAUUAGUAUUGAAUGAAACUUUGUUUAUAUAUCGAUAAUGACGAUAUAUAUAUUAUGUCUUGACCAAUUACGUGCCAGCAGUCGCGGUAAUACGUAAGAGACUAGUGUUAUUCAUCUUAAUUAGGUUUAAAGGGUACUCAAACGGUCUGUUUUGCACAAAAGACUAGAGUUAUAUAGAAGAAGGUAGUACCUUAAGUGUAGAGAUAAAAUUUUGUUAUACUGGAGGGACUUAGAAAAGGCGUAGGCAACCUUCUAAGUAAUAACUGACGUUGAAGGACGAAGGCAUAGGUCACGAACAGGACUAGUAACCCAAGUAGUCUUUGCAGUCAAUGAUGAAUGCCAUAGGUUAGAUAAAAAUUUAGUCUAUAAAUGAAAAUGUAAGCAUUUCACCUCAAGAGUAAUGUGGCAACGCAGGAACUGAAAUCACUAGACYGUUUCUGACACCAGUAGUGAAGUAUGUUGUUUAAUUCGAUGAUCCACGAAAAACCUUACCACAAUUUGUAUAUUUUACAGGAGUUGCACGGCUGUCUUCAGUUGAUGUUGUGAAACUGUGGUUUCCAUGAAUUAACGCAAUCCCUUGCUUUAUUUUUGUUCGUACAAACUAAGGCUUAGUUAAAGCUAUAUUUAGUUACUAUAAAGCAUUUGACCCUAUAAUUUGGGAAGAAAAAAGGGAGUAAGACAAGUCAUCAUGGCCUUAAUAUUGUGGGCUAUAGACGUGCCACAUAAGCCUAU
Molecule: ribosomal RNA, 840 nt
Filed under: Beauveria bassiana
Lineage: Eukaryota; Fungi; Ascomycota; Sordariomycetes; Hypocreales; Cordycipitaceae
Description: SSU rRNA
Source: RNAcentral